This 842-nucleotide ribosomal RNA is filed under the name uncultured bacterium. RNAcentral's name for it is "bacterial SSU rRNA". It matches the Rfam family "Bacterial small subunit ribosomal RNA", at positions 56 to 905 of the family's 1533-position model. The record is from RNAcentral.
UGCAGUCGAGGGGUAGAAGUCUUCGGACUUUGAGACCGGCGCACGGGUGCGUAACGCGUAUGCAAUCUACCUUUUACAGAGGGAUAGCCCAGAGAAAUUUGGAUUAAUACCUCAUAGCAUAGCAACUUCGCAUGAAGUCACUAUUAAAGUCACAACGGUAAAAGAUGAGCAUGCGUCCCAUUAGCUAGUUGGUAAGGUAACGGCUUACCAAGGCUACGAUGGGUAGGGGUCCUGAGAGGGAGAUCCCCCACACUGGUACUGAGACACGGACCAGACUCCUACGGGAGGCAGCAGUGAGGAAUAUUGGACAAUGGGCGCAAGCCUGAUCCAGCCAUGCCGCGUGCAGGAUGACGGUCCUAUGGAUUGUAAACUGCUUUUAUACGAGAAGAAACACUGCUUCGUGAAGCAGCUUGACGGUAUCGUAAGAAUAAGGAUCGGCUAACUCCGUGCCAGCAGCCGCGGUAAUACGGAGGAUCCAAGCGUUAUCCGGAAUCAUUGGGUUUAAAGGGUCCGUAGGCGGUUUAAUAAGUCAGUGGUGAAAGCCCAUCGCUCAACGGUGGAACGGCCAUUGAUACUGUUAAACUUGAAUUAUUAGGAAGUAACUAGAAUAUGUAGUGUAGCGGUGAAAUGCUUAGAGAUUACAUGGAAUACCAAUUGCGAAGGCAGGUUACUACUAAUGGAUUGACGCUGAUGGACGAAAGCGUGGGUAGCGAACAGGAUUAGAUACCCUGGUAGUCCACGCCGUAAACGAUGGAUACUAGCUGUUGGAAGCAAUUUCAGUGGCUAAGCGAAAGUGAUAAGUAUCCCAUCUGGGGAGUACGUUCGCCAGAAUGAAACUCAAA